CCCUUAGAUGUCCUGGGCCGCACGCGCGCUACACUGAGUGUCUGAGAUACGAGUCUGCCUGGUCCGGCAAGGUCUAGGUAAUCGCUAAAAGACACAUCAUGCUUGGGAUAGAUUAUUGCAAAUAUUAAUCUUGAACGAGGAAUUCCUAGUAAGCGCAAGUCAACAUCUUGCGUUGAUUACGUCCCUGCCCUUUGUACACACCGCCCGUCGCUACUACUGAUUGGAUGUUUAAGCGAGGUUCUCGAACUGCUAGCGACUUAGCUUCGGUGAGGUCGCAGUGUGGGAAGUGAACCUAGCUUUGGUGUCUAGAGGAAGUAAAAGUCGUAACA
RNAcentral lists this ribosomal RNA (329 nucleotides) under uncultured eukaryote. RNAcentral describes it as "partial 18S ribosomal RNA". It matches the Rfam family "Eukaryotic small subunit ribosomal RNA", at positions 1470 to 1796 of the family's 1831-position model. The record is from RNAcentral.